RNAcentral lists this ribosomal RNA (467 nucleotides) under uncultured Gelria sp. RNAcentral describes it as "bacterial SSU rRNA". It matches the Rfam family "Bacterial small subunit ribosomal RNA", at positions 917 to 1381 of the family's 1533-position model. Lineage: Bacteria; Bacillati; Bacillota; Clostridia; Thermoanaerobacterales; Thermoanaerobacteraceae. The record is from RNAcentral.
GACGGGGCCGCACAAGCGGUGGAGCAUGUGGUUAAUUCGAAGCAACGCGAAGAACCUUACCAGGUCUUGACAUCCCGAUGCUAUUUCUAGAGAUAGAAAGUUACUUCGGUACAUCGGUGACAGGUGGUGCAUGGUUGUCGUCAGCUCGUGUCGUGAGAUGUUGGGUUAAGUCCCGCAACGAGCGCAACCCUUGUCUUUAAUUGCCAUCAUUCAGUUGGGCACUUUAAAGAGACUGCCGGUGUUAAACCGGAGGAAGGUGGGAUGACGUCAAGUCCUCAUGGCCUUUAUGCCCAGGGCUACACACGUGCUACAAUGGGUGGUACAAAGAGAUGCAAUCUCGCAAGAGCAAGCAAACCUCAAAAAGCCAUCCUCAGUUCGGAUUGGAGUCUGCAACUCGACUCCAUGAAGUCGGAAUCGCUAGUAAUCGCGGAUCAGCACGCCCGCGGUCGAAUACGUUCCCGGGCCUU